GAUUAACGCUGGCGGCGUGCCUAACACAUGCAAGUCGAGCGGCAGCGAGUUUUACACUGAAUUCUGGAAGCUUCUGGUUUGAAGAGAAGAUUUAUUCAAGAAUUUUGUGUAAAAUGUCGGCGAGCGGCGGACGGCUGAGUAACGCGUGGGAACGUACCCCAAAGUGAGGGAUAACGCAUCGAAAGGUGUGCUAAUACCGCAUAUGGUCUUCGGAUUAAAGCCUUCGGGCGCUUUGGGAACGGCCUGCGUAAGAUUAGAUAGUUGGUGGGGUAAUGGCCUACCAAGUCGACGAUCUUUAACUGGUUUGAGAGGAUGAUCAGUCAGACUGGAACUGAGACACGGUCCAGACUCCUACGGGAGGCAGCAGUGAGGAAUCUUCCACAAUGGGCGAAAGCCUGAUGGAGCAACGCCGCGUGCAGGAUGAAGGCCUUCGGGUUGUAAACUGCUUUUAUAAGUGAGGAUUAUGACAGUAACUUAUGAAUAAGGAUCGGCUAACUACGUGCCAGCAGCCGCGGUCAUACGUAGGAUCCGAGCGUUAUCCGGAGUGACUGGGCGUAAAGAGUUGCGUAGGUGGUUCGAUAAGCGAAUAGUGAAAUCUGGUGGCUCAACCAUUCAGACUAUUAUUCGAAUUGUUGAACUCGAGAGCAGAAGAGGUAGCUGGAAUUUCUAAUGUAGGAGUGAAAUCCGUAGAUAUUAGAAGGAACACCGAUGGCGUAGGCAGGCUACUGGGCUGUUUCUGACACUGAGGCACGAAAGCGUGGGGAGCGAACCGGAUUAGAUACCCGGGUAGUCCACGCCGUAAACGAUGGAUACUAGCUGUUUGGGGUAUCGACCCCCUGAGUAGCGAAGCUAACGCGUUAAGUAUCCCGCCUGUGGAGUACGAUCGCAAGAUUAAAACAUAAAGGAAUUGACGGGGACCCGCACAAGCGGUGGAUCAUGUUCUUUAAUUCGAUGAUAACCGAUAAACCUUACCAGGUCUUGACAUCCUUGGAAUCUUUCAGAAAUGAGAGAGUGCUUUUUAAGAGCCAAGUGACAGGUGAUGCAUGGCCGUCGUCAGCUCGUGUCGUGAGAUGUUUGGUUAAGUCCAUCAACGAGCGCAACCCUUGUCAGUAGUUGUAUUUUUCUACUGAGACUGCCCCGGCAACGGGGAGGAAGGAGGGGAUGACGUCAGGUCAGUAUUUCCCUUACGUCCUGGGCUAGAAACGUGAUACAAUGGCUAGUACAAUGCGCAGCGAAGCCGCGAGGUGAAGCAAAUCGCAUCAAAGCUAGUCCCAGUUCGGAUUGUAGGCUGAAACUCGCCUGCAUGAAGUCGGAAUCGCUAGUAAUCGCAGAUCAGCAUGCUGCGGUGAAUACGUUCCCGGGUCU
Molecule: ribosomal RNA, 1365 nt
Filed under: uncultured bacterium
Lineage: Bacteria
Description: bacterial SSU rRNA
Rfam family: Bacterial small subunit ribosomal RNA
Source: RNAcentral